Molecule: transfer RNA, 71 nt
Filed under: Minisyncoccota bacterium
Lineage: Bacteria; Bacillati; Minisyncoccota
Description: tRNA-Gly
Rfam family: tRNA
About the family: Transfer RNA (tRNA) molecules are approximately 80 nucleotides in length. Their secondary structure includes four short double-helical elements and three loops (D, anti-codon, and T loops). Further hydrogen bonds mediate the characteristic L-shaped molecular structure. tRNAs have two regions of fundamental functional importance: the anti-codon, which is responsible for specific mRNA codon recognition, and the 3' end, to which the tRNAs corresponding amino acid is attached (by aminoacyl-tRNA synthetases). tRNAs cope with the degeneracy of the genetic code in two manners: having more than one tRNA (with a specific anti-codon) for a particular amino acid; and 'wobble' base-pairing, i.e. permitting non-standard base-pairing at the 3rd anti-codon position.
Source: RNAcentral
GCGGGUAUGGUUUAGUGGCAGAAUGAGACCUUCCCAAGGUUUAGACACGGGUUCGAUUCCCGUUACCCGCU